UUUCAACAAUGCCACAGUUGCUGUUAAACUUGAUUACUUCCUGCUUUUUUCAUAGAGAAUUCCUCUUGGUAAACAAUUUUUCUGCCCCAGUUUCGACCACCAAAAUUUUGUUAGAUUAAGAAUGAUGGUUAGUUGAUGGCAUUCUUUGCUGCGUCAUCCUUUCAUUGCCUUGCUUUGUGUUUCCUGAUUUCCUCUGAGCUGCCUGACUUUCUGACCGACUUUCACAUUCCCCAAUUUCUGACAACUUGAAUGCUUUUGUACUCCCGAUAUUGUUUCACCUUUCCGACUCUUUUUCCUGAACCUUCACAUUUCCCACAAUAUUUCCCAGAUAUUCUACCUAUGAAACUUCCGGCGUCUUCCCCUAUUUCUCUUUACAUCAUAUUGUUGCUGACAUGCUCUGGCCACAUUAUGCUUUACCUUUUCUGGAAGCUGGUAGUGGGCUUUGAAUUCCUUUUCCCUUUUCAUUGAACAGAACUGACAUUGAAACAUUUUAGACAAUCAAUAAACCCAAAAGAGAAUGAAAUGCAAUAAUUUUAUGAGUACUUUAUCUGCUGGAACAGCUAGCACCAAUGAUCAUGACAUGCAUUUCGGACUAACCGGCUAAAACAACCCAUCUAACCAGCUUUUAGUUGCCAUACCUCAUUGCCCAGAACUUCCAAUCACUUGACUAUUUU
Molecule: long non-coding RNA, 674 nt
Filed under: Nicotiana benthamiana
Lineage: Eukaryota; Viridiplantae; Streptophyta; Magnoliopsida; Solanales; Solanaceae
Description: long non-coding RNA (NBEN_LNC011828)
Source: RNAcentral